Molecule: ribosomal RNA, 253 nt
Filed under: uncultured bacterium
Lineage: Bacteria
Description: partial 16S ribosomal RNA
Rfam family: Bacterial small subunit ribosomal RNA
Source: RNAcentral
GACGUAGGGUGCAAGCGUUGUCCGGAUUUAUUGGGCGUAAAGAGCGUGUAGGCGGCUCGAUAAGUCUGCUGUGAAAGUCCAGGGCUCAACCCUGGAAGGCCGGUGGAAACUGUCGGGCUAGAGUCCGGAAGAGGCGAGUGGAAUUCCCGGUGUAGCGGUGAAAUGCGUAGAUAUCAGGAGGAACACCGAUGGCGAAGGCAGGUCUCUGGGCUGACACUGACGCUCAUGCACGAAAGCGUGGGGAGCAAACAGG